GAUGAACGCUGGCGGCGUGCCUAAUACAUGCAAGUCGAGCGAAAAGACGAGGAGCUUGGUCGACUGACGUUAGAGGCGGACGGGAGAGUAACAAGUGGAUAACCUCCCUAUAAGAAUGGGAUAACUUGGGGAAACCGGAGCUCAUACCGGAUAAUAUAUUGAACCGCAUGGUUCAAUAGUGAAAGCCGGCUUUGCUGUCACUUAUAGAUGGAGCGGUGCCGCAUUAGCUAGUUGGUAAGGUAACGGCUUACCAAGGCAACGAUGAGUAGCCGGCCUGAGAGGGUGAUCAGCCACACUGGAACUGAGACACGGUCCAGACUCCUACGGGAGGCAGCAGUAGGGAAUCUUCCGCAAUGGGCGAAAGCCUGACGGAGCAACGCCGCGUGAGUGAUGAAGGUCUUCGGGUCGUAAACCUCUGUUAUUCGGGAAGAACAAAUGUGUAAGUAACUAUGCACGUCUUGACGGUACCGAAUCAGAAAGCCCCGGCUAACUACGUG
This 497-nucleotide ribosomal RNA is filed under the name uncultured bacterium. RNAcentral describes it as "partial 16S ribosomal RNA". It matches the Rfam family "Bacterial small subunit ribosomal RNA", at positions 28 to 507 of the family's 1533-position model. The record is from RNAcentral.